This is a non-coding RNA of Stegostoma tigrinum, 552 nucleotides long. The record is from the annotation of a RefSeq genome assembly. Lineage: Eukaryota; Metazoa; Chordata; Chondrichthyes; Orectolobiformes; Stegostomatidae.
UCCCCGGGAAGGUUAGCAGCAGUGAUGCAGUUCUCCAUUUUCACGGUGACCUUUGUUACUUUCGUUGCUGAUCUGAGCGAUGCAGUUUCUGUGACUCAGGGGGAGCCCUCUCUCACGCAAACAGAGAGGGAAGAUGUCACUUUCACCUGCACGUACACCGAUGAUGUUGAUUACUUGUUCUGGUACCGCCAAUACCCCGGCAGAAAGCCCGAGUUCGCAGUCCGUAGGUACAAAAGCGGCGGUGGGGAAUUGAAGGCAUAUUUUGCUCAGAAGCGGUUUUCCGACUCCGUCCAGCAGUCAGACAACUCAUAUCGAUUGACCAUCUCGGAGCUGCAGCUGUCUGACACCGCGAAUUAUCACUGUGCAGCGAGACACAGCGAUGGGAAUGAACGAAAGCCUCGUACAAUAACUGCUGCAGAUUUCUGGGUCACAGCUGCUGCCUGUUUAAGACAGCUUAUAAAUGGGUUUCACACACUGACGAUUCUACACAUUUAUGUGCUGGAAAGUGUCGAAAAUAAUCCACGUAAACAUGAUUUAAAAUCGUUCAAAUGA